GACGAACGCUGGCGGCGUGCCUAAUACAUGCAAGUAGAACGCUGAAGAGAGGAGCUUGCUCUUCUUGGAUGAGUUGCGAACGGGUGAGUAACGCGUAGGUAACCUGCCUUGUAGCGGGGGAUAACUAUUGGAAACGAUAGCUAAUACCGCAUAACAAUGGAUGACACAUGUCAUUUAUUUGAAAGGGGCAAUUGCUCCACUACAAGAUGGACCUGCGUUGUAUUAGCUAGUAGGUGAGGUAAUGGCUCACCUAGGCGACGAUACAUAGCCGACCUGAGAGGGUGAUCGGCCACACUGGGACUGAGACACGGCCCAGACUCCUACGGGAGGCAGCAGUAGGGAAUCUUCGGCAAUGGGGGCAACCCUGACCGAGCAACGCCGCAUGAGUGAAGAAGGUUUUCGGAUCGUAAAGCUCUGUUGUAAGUCAAGAACGGGUGUGAGAGUGGAAAGUUCACACUGUGACGGUAGCUUACCAGAAAGGGACGGCUAACUACGUG
RNAcentral lists this ribosomal RNA (497 nucleotides) under uncultured bacterium. RNAcentral describes it as "partial 16S ribosomal RNA". It matches the Rfam family "Bacterial small subunit ribosomal RNA", at positions 28 to 507 of the family's 1533-position model. The record is from RNAcentral.